UAAGUGAGAAUCUUAAAGGCCGAAUAUCUAAGGUUUCCAGGGUAAAGCUGAUCUUCCCUGGGUAAGUCGGGGCCUAAGGCGAGGGCGAGAGCCGUAGUCGAUGGAUAACAGGUUGAAAUUCCUGUACUGCUUAUGGACAGAACUGUGGGGACGCAGAAGGAGAGCACGAGCCGGAAAUGGAAAAGCCGGUACAAGCGUAUAGCAGUCAUGCAGGCAAAACCGCAUGAAAAAUGUAAAGCGUUAUGUGGAUCGAACAUUAGUAGAGAAGCGUGUGAGCCAGCUGCCAAGAAAAGCCGCUAUUGUUUCAUAAGUACCCGUACCGUAAACCGACACAGGUGGAUGAGGAGAGAAUCCUAAGGCCGGCGGGAGAAGUGUUGUUAAGGAACUCGGCAAAAUGACUCCGUAACUUCGGGAGAAGGAGUGCCACAGAGAUGUGGCCGCAGAGAAAUGGCCCAAGCAACUGUUUAGCAAAACACAGGUCUGUGCAAAACCGAAAGGUGAGGUAUAUGGGCUGACGCCUGCCCGGUGCUGGAAGGUUAAGAGGAGAGGUUAGAGCAAUCGAAGCUUUGAAUUUAAGCCCCAGUAAACGGCGGCCGUAACUAUAACGGUCCUAAGGUAGCGAAAUUCCUUGUCGGGUAAGUUCCGACCCGCACGAAAGGCGUAAUGAUUUGGGCACUGUCUCAACAACACACCCGGUGAAAUUGAAAUACCAGUGAAGAUGCUGGUUACCUGCGCCAGGACGGAAAGACCCCAUGGAGCUUUACUCCAGUUUGAUACUGGGAUUCGGUACUGUCUGUACAGGAUAGGUGGGAGGCUAGGAAAUGGUGACGCCAGUUGCCAUGGAGCCAACCUUGGGAUACCACCCUUACAGUACUGGGUUUCUAACCUGCAGCCGUAACCCGGCUGGGGGACAAUGUCUGACGGGGAGUUUGACUGGGGCGGUCGCCUCCGAAAGAGUAUCGGAGGCGCUCAAAGGUUCCCUCAGAACGGUUGGAAACCGUUCGAAGAGUGCAAAGGCAGAAGGGAGCUUGACUGCGACACCGACGGGUGGAGCAGAUACGAAAGUAGGACUUAGUGAUCCGGUCGUAUAAAGUGGGAUUGCCAUCGCUCAACGGAUAAAAGCUACCCUGGGAUAACAGGCUUAUCACUCCCAAGAGUUCACAUCGACGGAGUGGUUUGGCACCUGAUGUCGGCUCAUCGCAUCCUGGAGCUGUAGCAGGUUCCAAGGGUUGGGCUGUUCGCCCAUUAAAGCGGUACGCGAGCUGGGUUCAGAACGUCGUGAGACAGUUCGGUCCCUAUCCGGCGUGGGCGUAGGAUAUUUGAGAGGAGCUGUCCUUAGUACGAGAGGACCGGGAUGGACAAACCUCUGGUGUAUCUGUUGUUUUACCAAAGGCAUGGCAGAGUAGCCAAGUUUGGCAGGGAUAAACGCUGAAGGCAUCUAAGCGUGAAGCCCCCCUCAAGAUAAGAUAUCCCAUCUUCGGAGUAAGACCCCUUGAAGACUACAAGGUUGAUAGGCUUCAGGUGUAAGUGUGGUAACGCACUCAGCUGAGAAGUACUAAUAGGUCGAGGACUUAUCAA
RNAcentral lists this ribosomal RNA (1578 nucleotides) under metagenome. RNAcentral's name for it is "bacterial LSU rRNA". It matches the Rfam family "Bacterial large subunit ribosomal RNA", at positions 1318 to 2925 of the family's 2925-position model. The record is from RNAcentral.